Molecule: long non-coding RNA, 7969 nt
Organism: Gasterosteus aculeatus aculeatus (three-spined stickleback)
Lineage: Eukaryota; Metazoa; Chordata; Actinopteri; Perciformes; Gasterosteidae
Source: Ensembl
GCAUCAUUUCCGGGUCAGGUGUCUGUCUGCGCACAGUAGCGACAGAGUGCUCCGUGCACUGUGCUCCUUUUUGCUCUUUAGUCCUCUCGUUCUCUCUCUCCGUGUUAGACCGAACAAUAUUCUGUAGCUAAUGUUAGCGUGGUCACAGGUAGAUGUCUGCCGUGUGGGUCUUUCUCUCCCUCCCUCUCCCUGUGCAGGUUUGACCUGGGAAACAGGGAAUGCUCAUCAGCUGGCCGAAAUCCACAGGUGGCGAUUGAUGUGACACGCAUCAGUUGAUUGGGGCCUCUGCUGCUGCUAACUGCUGUUUUGUCUGCUGCUGUCUGCUGCUAACUGCUGCUUUGUCUGCUGCUACAUGCAACUUAGUCUGCUGCUACAUGUAACCUUGUCGCUAACUGUCUGCACUGUUAAUGCACAGUUUGGUCUCCGCCGCGACGUACAUAGUGUGUCUAUUGCCGGCACCAGACUUGGACCUGUGUAGUUCUUUGAUUCUAGCUGACUGAGUAGUUAAUCCUCUAGUUUGUAUUUCUUUGGUUUGUUUCCCUCAUUUUCUUUUUGUUUGGGUUACGUGAAUUGUUUGAUUAGGACGAUUUUUAUGUGAAUUAUUUUCUUUUUGUGUUGUACAUUUUUGGUUUAAUUCUCUUGUAACCUUCUUUUUUUUGGUUAUCCUUCCUAGCAGCUGUAGGCUGGUGGUGGUGUGGGUGGUGGUGGUCUUCCUCGUCUGUCAUGUCCCAUUGAAUCAGGAAACAUUUACAUUGCAAGUAUUUAAACCGCGUGGGUGAAUGGACCUCCUCCUUUCUUUCUAUCUGCCAAACUCAAAACAGCGAAAACUCACUGACUAAAAAAAUGAAGCGACAAUGAAGUUUAGAUGUUAUUUGGGCAUUAGUGGUGGAGAAAUACAUGUAUUGACUAUAGUGUGCUGUAGUAAAGAGUGAAGCACUUGUGCUGUGAUACGGCUGAGUGCAAACUGUGACAUUCCCACUGCUGAUGCCAAGAAAUUAUCCUGAUGCCAAUAAUUGUAAUGUAGUGAGCAGUUUAACAACUGCUGGAAUGGAAUGUGCACGCUGAGUGGGAGAUGCAACGUCAUCUUUGAUUUCUAUCAGUAACUUAUAUUGCGUGGCUUCAUCUUCAUUGCAUAAUUUUGUGUUCAUUCAACUGAAAAAGUGUCGUCCUUGUGGCAAAAGUUCUUUCAACUUGACUUGAAAUGUCUCCAAUUUCACAAGGAGGCAUAUGUGAGGAAACCCGCAUUCUUGUUAACACCUGCUUUUAGAAAGUCCAGAAUUUCCCCCACAAAACAGGCAGUUUCUGUACGUACAAUAUAUUAUAUAGACCAUAUAUUAUUCAGCAGCCUUUGCACAUCCCCUCCUAUCUCUUUAUGGGAAACUCCCACUUUUCCUAUGACCUUCCGUGAAUGCAUAUGCAUGACACGGAAUGCAUCGCAUGUACCAACCAGUCAGUGGCCUACUUGGAAAAAUACCCAUACACUUAUCAUUAUUUUCGAUGAUUACAAAUAAAGUACAUCAUAUGUCUUUUUUUUUUUUUUGGAUCCACCAAUUUGCCUGGAUGGACACAUGAAAUAAAAUGAUAAUUGUAAUACUCCAAAGUAGGUUUUCCCGAAAAAUAUGCUUAACUCUAGGCUAGUAUCAGAUGGUUAUAGUUAACACUACGAAACCUUAGGGAAUGGACAUCAGCAGAAAAAGAUCACACAUUAAAGACACUAGAAUCAGAGUGUAUAAUUAGUAUAAAUUAUAUCGUAAAAAUAGAACAUACGAUGGGGUGUCAGCAUCAGUGGUAUUGGUAAUGUUGCAUGCGGAGUAUGUGAUUGUGUAUGUGUGGGUGUUGAAGGUGGAUAGGAAAACAAUAAGUUUAAUAACAGAACCUAAACUAACUCUGCCUGCCCAGGUGCAUUGUGGUCACAUGGUAAUGAAAAUAAAUAAAAAGACAGUACUGUAUGUAUUGACCUCUGUGUCCGGUCACAAACGGUCAGUGAGUGAUGACUGAAGACAAUUAAACUAAUUAUGAGACGGUUUUGUAACGGGAUAUGGAUCUUGUAAUUAUGAGAUAUCCUCUCUUUGUUCAAUGAAGAAUUAUCUAUGCCGUCAAUGGUUGAAAAUAGUAAAUGUACAGCGCAUUUCUAGUCUUCUGACUGCUUUAACACUACAUGACAUCAUUCACCCAUUCAUACACUGAUAACAGGAGCUACCAUACACAGUGUCCCAUGCCAUUAUUAACUAACAUUCACACACUGUAGUUUCAGCUACAAUGUGGUUUAAGUGUCUUGCUCAAGGACACAUCAACAUGCGGGUUAGCCAGGCCUGGGAUCAACCACCCAACCCUCUGAUUGGAGGAUGACCGUGCUCCCCACUCACCCACAGUCAAGCUACUGUGAAAAGUAUACCGUGCCCAUUAGGAAGGUUUGCAUGGCCCAAUAAAGUAAUGAACGCCACAUAUGCGUCGGCCUCGUCAAUACACUAGGCAAAAUAGUUGCGCUUUCCCUUCUCAUAGAUUUCCAUCGAGGAUGAUCGAUGUAGACUGAUUUUUUUUAUUUUAUUGAAUUUACCUUUUAAGUUCCUUCCCUUUUCCAAACAGUUUCCAAUAAUUUCAUCUGGUAUGUCAAGUUAGACGAGAGACAGCUUCUCUCAACCAUGUUUGAGUUAUUAACAUUUCAUUUCAUGCAUUCAAAGUGACCACAAAAUAUCAAUAAAAAAUUGAAGAAUGUUCUGAAAAACAGAAAAUAAACUACCUCUAUUAAAAACAUCCAACACAAGCUCAAAACAAUGUUCUGAACACCAAGUUGUGAUAUACCAAGAAAUUGAACAAUUGAUGAAUAAUUGCAUCAUGAUGGAAUGUAGUCAUUGACAGAUAAGUGCCAGAAAGAGGGGCUUUCUGGGCUUCAUAAGAUUACAGAUAAUCUAUAAACUGCAAUUCUUCAAAUUGUGGUUUACAGAGCAUCUCUGUCUCUCUCUGCCGGUUAAUCUCAUCAGGGACAGGAAUCCAGAUUCAAUACCAUCGACCUUGGUCUCUCUUAUCUCCUGCAACUGCUCCCUUCUGGAGAAAACUCAGCAGCUGACAAAAUAUAAGUGGGUCUGUGUCGCUUCGAAUGAAAGAGGUUUGUACAUUGUUCCUCUUGUUUGCAGAGUUAUUCUAGAAUUUCUUAGUGGAUCUCCCUAAUGUUAAAGGACAACAAGCAGCAGAGUGACAAAAAAAGUGAGGCAAUCUUCUAAAAAGGAUCAGAGAAUGAAGACAGAUGGAGUGAGCAAACAGCAGCAUGGCAGUCCAGUACAGUGAAAGACAGAGCUUAACAUCCUGCAUUGUGUCCAGACAGGCAGGGCUAACUUGGGGGCUCGAGCUGCAUGCUGUUCCUGUGAUUAGCCCUCCAUCUGGCAGGGUGGGCAGAGCGAGCAGCCAAAGCGUUGCAGCCGGCUGCAUGGAUCUGAGAGUUGGAGGCGGGCUCUUCCUUUGCAUUUGCAUUUGACAGUGACAGCAACUAACGUAGCAAAAGAGUUCUGGGUACUUGCUAAAAGACUUCCAAUGGCUCAACGGGCCAAAGCACUCCCUCUCUGGGAGGCUUUUAAUGUCAACAUUAAAAGUUGUAGCGUCAAUUAUCAAGGUUGACCCCUAAAGAUCAAUGAGUUGAGUCAAUUUUGAAAAUCACUCUUGAAAAUCCUGCACUAAUCCUGCAAACAAUCUAGAAAAUAAACGCUAAACUGAAAAAAGAACCAACUGAAACAAAAAAUGAACAAAGUAUCAGAAUAACAAGACCUGACAAUAGCAAUGAAAAAUGGCAUGGAUACAGCGAUGGCUCUCUGACAUGAGGUACAAGACGGACUGGCACAGAACAAAGGGGGGCGCAGACAAUAUAUACACAUAGGGUAAGGACAGGGCAGACAAUCCGACCAGCAGGAAAGCACACAGGGGGAAGGAGCGGUGGUGUAGUGUACGUGAUACGCAGGUAUACGGCGUAUACCCACUAGGAAAAGUCAAGGAUGUGCGUAUACCCACUGACAAAAGCGCUGUGACAGAACGUUCGGUCCCUCGCUCUGGGACAGGCGAGUAUGGCGCUGGGAAGGGAAAAAUCACAGUAUUCUCACUACAAAAUUUAGACACACUACUGGAGAGGAAAGUUAACUGAAAGUAAAACAGGACAUGAGUCUCUGUGCUCUCCCUCCCCACAGGCUUCUGUGGAUGGUGGUUCUAUCUGACCCCUGCAGUGGUCCUGCUAUGCGCCUGGCUUACUACUCACAAUUACUUGAAUCAUUUCUGUCAUAGGAAUUGCAUGUAUUAUAUACUGUUCAUUCUGUACACGUGGCAUCCAUUGUAGUCUGUCCAUCCCGGGAGUGGGAUCCCUCCUCUGACUUUCUCCCUAAGGUUUAUUCCCUUUUUUCCCUCUUGGAAGGGUUUUUUCAUUUUUUGGGGAGUUUUUCCUGUGCCGAUGGUGGGUUUCGGGACGGAGGAUGUCGUACGUGUACAGACUGUAAAGCCCUCUGAGGCAAAUUUGCGAUUAUGGGCUAUACAAAAUAAAAUGAAUUGAAUUGAAUUGAACAUGAGGGAAACCCCUGUGAGUGUUCGGAUGUGUGAAAAUCUCUUUUAUGUUGCUGGUGAAUAAAUAAAUCAUACAACACACAAAAGAAAUUAUGUGAAUCGCCUAAAAUACCAUCUUAAUUGGCUGAAACCCACCCUGCAACCCCCUCUGCCAACCCCUAAAACCUGUGCGAUUAUGAUGUUUUGAACGGUGUGAAGCAUUUAUAUAUUUGUUUGUGAUGAAUACACAACAUUCCUGUUCUGGCUCGGUUUGGAGCCAAAACUGGUGCCAGUCGGCUGCAACAGGUUAAAUGUGCUUUAUCCCCGGCUCUAGGAUCCUGCUGGUGGCACAUGUGAUCCUCUGCCUUCCCAGUUCCAUCCGCCUUCUCAGAUUCAGGACCCUAUCUUCAUCUCCAGCCAACUCCAGUAACUUCAGCAGAACCUCUGAUGUCUGGGCUCCUCGGGGGGGAGCCCCACAGCUAAAUCUCAAAUCGCGUCAUUGAGUUCAAGCGCCAAAUAAAUUUGCCUCAUGUACUCAUGAAGGCUUCAUCAAGCAUAAUAAAUAUGAACUACUAAUCAUUCACAUGUCUCUCCUAAUUGAACUUCUAUUGUUUAAAAUACUGUAAAAAUUCCUAGACACCUCACCAGAGGUGAGAUAUGAAGACUGGGUUCCUCUGCUGAUGAGGCAAACAAAUGAGUACAUGAAAUAUAUUUCAGAAUGUAUAUAUUAUAACCUGAAUAUACACAUAUAUCAUCUAAACCUUUCUGGCUACGUUAUGAAUUGAUAUAUGAAGUCCCUCCAUAAUCAGAAGAACGACAAGAUGUUAUUCGUUAUUAAGCACCAUCACAACUGUGUUCGGAACAGAGGAAAAGUCAUAAACCACAAAAGCAAACUCUUGAAGGAAAUACUGGAGAGCGAUGAGUACACGUAGCAGCCAAACAGCGGAUGCAGGGGAGAAUAUACCUUGUGUUGGCAUGGGGGUGGAGUAAAAAAUAAAACAGGAAACACAUGUACAAUUAAUUGGAUGUUAUGAAAAACCAAAGUCAAUAGUCUUCACUAUUGACUGAAUAUUAGCAGUCAAAUCAAAUAUUUAAACCAAUAUGCAUGUAUUGCAUAUGUUUGCAUUCAUCCCACUUUAAUAUUAAAUCCUUCUGCUUAUUUUUACCAUCUUUUAUUCUAUUCUUUUUAGUUUUUUUCGUUGUUGUCUUCGGUUUUUCACAUGUUGUAUGUCUUUCACUUAAUCUCAGAUUAAGCAUUCUUGAUCAGCCUUGCUGCUGAAAGAUGCAACUGGAAAUAAUCUACCUUUUCUUCCACCUCUCGCCAGCCCUCCGGACUAGUCCUCCACCCUCCUGCCUCACGUAAAGUAUGCAAAGUUCCCAGCACAGCUUCUCCAGCAGCACAUCCAUCAUUACCUGAGGGAGUCAGUGUAAGCCUAAUCAAGACUUUGAUUAAUUGAAAAAGGAACAGAGAGAGGUGGGCCAGGAUCAGCAGGCCUUUGGGCUCAGCCUGCUCUCUCUCCCGGCUUGGUGGAGGGUUGGCUGGCUGCAGUAUUAAAUGCCAUAUGGUGGUGCUGCUGCGCAUAAGAUCAACUUCUUGCAGAGUGGUAUCAAAUUUGCAGUACGCUUUCCCCUACCCUUAUCUUUUUAUUGAAAUUAGGUCACCUAUUUAGAAAUUGUACAAGUUUAGAACUUGUGAUGUAAACAUUGAAAUUAUUUCCAAAAUAUGUAGCACAUGCAUUGUUGCAUACUUCUGAGUUCUUCUUUGUUGUAUUUUUCUGUUAAUUCUUUUACAUUUUUGCCCAAUAUUUAUAGCACUAAAUGGUAUAUUGUUUUAUAUUACUUGUGCAUGCCACAUCAAUUAAACAACUUUCAGGUGAUUCUCAGGGUCAAAUCUAUUUAAACCUUUCAUUGAAAAACUGCUGGCAGGCAAGUAUUUCUGUGACUUAUUUGUUCGCACAUCUGGAUAAUAUAAUAACCCCAUAAUAUCACAACCCAAUCAUUAUUUUUCCCAGACUAAAUUGUGUUUUAUUUUAUAGGAUGUCACUGAUGUCAGGUGCGGCAAGGACAAACCUAUUGAACAAUCUCUGCUCCCUUUGGAGUACUAACUGAUAGCAUGACCUUAGACUUGUCUUGAUCUACCAUUAAAUACAGUUUUGAAUAAACUACAACCACAGAGUGAGUGAUUAAAGAAGUCUCUGACAGUGUCUUUAAGUAACAGAGAUAUUACACCAAUUUUGUCUUCCAGCAUUGCAGGUACCAUAACACUGCCAGAGAAGAUAAAAUGCUCAGUUUCAUCUGCGUCUUACUCACUCACUCACUCCUGCAUUCAUUCAUUCAUUCACUCGCCUACUCAAUCACAGACACACUCACACACACUGCUGUAGCGGCGAGAUAAAACAUUUUUGUAGAUUGCGAAUGCGGGUAGGAAGAAAAAUGAUAUCAGGUAAUCACUGUGAGGCGUUACUAGUCAUUACUCUGAGCUGUCACUCGGAGAUGAGAGACAAGGCAGCGAGUCGCCAACACUGGACUGACUCCCUUUCUCAUUCCUCCUGUGAAUUCCUUUGUUAUUUUGGAUCCUAUUGAAUAGUCCAUUUUGGUUUCUCUUUUAUUUAUUUCCUGGAAGGUGGAGAGUGAGUGAGUCCACUGCAUCUGCAAGUUUGACCUUGACUGGGAUGAAGACUGCAUCACCAUCAAAGGCCAUGCUUCUGCUACAGAUAAAGCCUGAGAAGAAAAAUUGCUUAGAUGCAGGUGUGAAAAUGUCGGCCCACUGCUCUGUUUGAAUGUGUUCAACUUUUCCACAAAUGCAAAAACUAUUAUUAAUACCACAAUAUAUACCUCUUAUUUAAAUGUUGUAGUAUGGCGUUUUAUUUUAUUACAUAGAGUAAUUCCCUGAGUACUGGCCUAGGUUAAAGUUAAAACCAAAAGUAAAUGCAGAUGGCCCGCAGGUGAAAUUAGAAAUGAAUUUCAUAUUCACACAAAGUUCAAUUAUAUUAUGGCUAAAGUUUUACAUAAUCAAUGGAGAGCCGUGUUGAGUGAUACGGUGGUCGGCGUUACUGUUGUAUGCCUAUUUAAAAAUAAUCACAGGUGUCGGAUGUUACUUUCUUCCAGGAGGCACAGUUUUUCACCAGACGAAAUGGGCAUUCCAAUUCAUGUCAUGAUUCACCUGAAAUACAGAUGCAUCUCGCUUCACCAAGCCAGUGGUUAGUGCUAGCGUAAGCUGCUAACACUUCCAAGCUGAGUCAGGGCUGGCCUUUUUAUUCAUGCAUCCAGGGGCCUACCUCUUCUAUAGCUCCAACCUGACACCCAAAUACGGUCUUCUUAUUGAAUAAAUACGGUCUUUAUUCAUGCAUCCAGGGGCCUACUUCUUCUAUAGCUCCAACCUGACACCCAAAUACGGGCUUCUUGACCUAAAAGGGCGUCAGCAAAAAGGCAAACUUCAAAACAAUAGUCC